Molecule: long non-coding RNA, 10765 nt
Organism: Centrocercus urophasianus (Greater sage-grouse)
Lineage: Eukaryota; Metazoa; Chordata; Aves; Galliformes; Phasianidae
Exons: 3
Source: RefSeq, a predicted model, not a curated record
GACUGCCCGACCUCUUGAGUCAUUUGUGCUGUAGAAGACCUUGGUUCAAACCCUUCUUUCUGCAUCUCUAUCAGCCGUCUCUCAGGAAAAACAGCUAAACCCCCAGGGUGGAAAUUAGCCUGGAAUAUGUCAGGGUUGAAGAAAAUCUGACAUGUCUCGCUCUGACGCUACUCCAUUUUUCAUUCAACGUUUAAAGAUGAGUUGGAGCAGGGGCUGGCUUCGGAUGCAUUCAGAUGGGCUGUGCAAAAUGGAAGGGCUUCAGUAGAGCAAGCCAGCAUAUCCCAUGCCCACCCUGCCCCAAACGGUGCCCACUGGCUGAUGAAGGUGAGCCUCCAUCUGGGAAGCUGCUAUUCAGCUAACUCAAGAGGGGAGGAGGAGAAAUGGGAUGGAAGCGUGUCCUGGGGGUGCCCAGGAAAAGUUAGGAUGGCUGCUGAUCAUUGGAAGGAGCUGGACUGUGAUCCCCACACUUGCCCAAGUCCUUCCAUGACUCCAGCUCUGCACAUCACUGUUGCUCGCUUCCCCCAACACUACAAUGGAAAUAAUAUUAUUCCCUCCUUAGAAGGCUUUGAGAUGCUCAGUUACUAUGGUGAUGGGGCCAUAAAAGUACCAAAGAUAGCAAGAACAAUAAUAAUAUCAGACAUGGUAAGAGCCAAAUAAUUGCAUUUAGGGCACGCACACAACACAGAAGAGAGCCACCUCCACGCACCACAGCGCUCGGGCUCCGAAGACAACUUGUUACACCAGCAGGCUCACGGCCUAUUUAAGAGCUAAUUUCCAAUCCCUGCACUGUCCACCGAAGGGCGAGGAGCAGUGCAGCUCUGUGCCCACUCCCUCUGCAGCAGCCUCAAAGCAGGGAGCAGUGGGAUGAGGGCCCUUUGCCAGGACCAACACCAGCACACCAGCACUGUCACACCACGUCCCCGCAGAUGCGCGGCCGCCACUUUGUUUGACCAGCUGAGCGUUUCCCCCCAGCACGAUGCUGCUGGCCCUUUGGCUCCUUUUUCUCUGCUGCUUUGUCUCUUGCCUCGUUUUUUGUUUUUUUUUCUUUUCUUAUUUUUUCUUUUGAAAUAUAUGGGGUUUUAAUUGGGGAAAAAAAAAACCACGUAGCAUCUGUGGCUGCUUAAUAACACCUGUGCGUGGCGAGGCAGCUUUUCAGCAGCUAUUGUCACAGCGUUCUCAUCUGUGCAGUGCUGAGCUGCUGCUGCGUGGCCCCCAUGGAACUGCUCAAGCAGGAGCCAUCCUCGGAGGGCACGUAAUUAACAGGUGGUGCAAAACAAUAUGCUGUUAAAAAAAUAUGAGCGACAAGCCUUCUUACUAGGGAGAUGCUUAGGGAUGCGCAGGCAAUGCCUUUGCCGUGCCUCUAUGGGAGUGGUGCCUGCAGGCAUCUGAGGGGCAGUGCAUUUUGGCUUCUGUGUCAGCUCUGCAUCUCAAUCCUUGGUGGGCACCCACCUCCUUUAGACCUGGGAAGCUCAGGUGGGGCCCAAAUCCAUCUCCCCAUUGGGUGAAGGAAUGAAGUCCUGUUCCCAGAUGGUGGAGCGGUUUGGCCAAGGAAUAGAAGAGCAGCACAGCAAACAUCUCCGUGUGAUGCAGCUCUGCAGAGCCCCGUGUAACCCGGGGUAUUUAUGCAGAACCCUCCGGGCACUUCCCUUCAGCUCAGCCAAUUUGUUCAGGCUUCGAAUUUCCCUCAUCUCUCAGAGUACAUUAAAAAAAUCAAUGUAAUUACACAGCAAACAUUAAUUAUGAUCAAAAAUGCAGCUGAGAGGGAUUGAUCUGGAGGAGAUCGCAAGGCUGUAUCUAGCCACAGAACUGCCAAAAAAAUCAGCUCAACGAGGCUGAGGCCACGGGGAUGUGUGGCCUGUCUGAACAGCAAGGAGUCCUUGGAGACACCUGGAUUGUGGUUUCUGCCUCUGAUUUCUCUUAUGGCAGGCACAGGGACGGGUGAGCUCCAUGGGGACGGAGCAGCUUCCUGGUCACCACAGCCACAUCAGUGAGGCCUGUGUGUGAUGAGCUGCCCCGUUGCCUCCUUGGGACUUGCGUGGGGAAACAUCCUGCAGCACCAGAUGUUAAUGGCACUGCAUGGGGACAGCAAAACCUGGACUAAGAGACUGGAGUCCAUCAGCCAAGUGAGAGGUUUUUGUUAUUGCUCCAUUCUUUAAGGCAGAGGAAGGCACCUGGAAGCAGAUGCUCGUCCUUUGGAGGAGGGAGCAGCUCUUGGCCCUUCUGCUUGGGCACACUGCAGGACCCCGAGGUUUUGGGGAGGCACCCACACCCAGCACCCACACUGCGUUCUUCCCUCUGCUUCUCCCACCUUCCCCUGCAGCCUCCUCCUGCCCCACACGGCAGGCUGCUGCUCAGACAACCAUUACCCAGGUAGCAGGAGGAAUUUCCUAGAAAACGGUACAGAAAAGCACCUCCUGCAGAGCUGCCUCCUAAUAAGUCCCUGUUCUUCCACAGGCGGAAGGCGAAGCGGCCGAGCUUCAGCUGCACACACAGCAGGAGGGAGGGGGAGCGCGCCGGGAGCGAGAUGCAAACAGACCCAGGGAGGGGGAAAGCAGAGGCGUCAUGGAAGGGCUGGAAGAGAAAAUGGUUUCCUUGGGAAGAGGCUGGCAAGUCUCAGCUGGAAAGGGACAGCAAGGGAGAGAUGAGAGAGCUGCUCUGGGUUGGAGAGAGAAGAGGAGCACGGUUUGGGAACAUGCAGCCCAUGCUGAUUGCAUGUGGGCAUCCUCCUGCAGGCUCCAGCUCAACACUGGGCAGAGCCUCAUCACUAGAAAGACAAAGGGUGAGAAAACAACUUCGUUAUCUCUGUGCUGUGACCUCCAGUGCAAGCCACUCAGCGUGCGGCUCCCCUGCAUUGUGCACAAAGAUCAGUGGAAGGAAGCAUGGAGCUGAGAAGACACCGUUGCGUUAACGAGCAGAAAUAAAGCCACUUGUAGAGGAUGCUGCUUCCACAAGGUGGGAUUUCACCCCAUAUAUCCUCAUGCAUGGGCUGUGUCAGUACCGAGUCCGCAACAUCAUGCCAUGCAAAACAAAGAGGGAAUAACAGCUGGGAACUGGACCUGCACCACGGGAUGUGCUACUGGGAAGCAUCCCAUGGUGAGGACUGCCCCAUCCCACCUCGCUCCGAGAGCAAGGGCAAGGAGUAAGACAUCAGUGGGAUCAUUAAUUUCAUUGUGGGUUUACAAGCAGUGAAAUCUGCUCCUUCCUCUCUGCAGAGUCAGCAGCUCCCCCCACCAUGUAUUACAUUUUAGUCUGUAAGUGCAAAGUGAUUUCCGUUGAGGGUAGGGACGCUGAAGCACAGAGAAAAAGGAGAAUAAUAUCUUAUCUUCCUUUAAUCCCCUCCAUCCCAAAGGGUCGCAGAGCCGUUAGCUUCCCUUUCCGUAUGUACGCACAGUUAAUUAGCAUUGCUAGAGAACUGCAGGUAUUCUCAGACUUAGUGGAGGGAAUAUCUUGUAAUAGGACGGUAAGCAAAUUGUUUCUGCUGCUUCUAUUACAGCCGGCUUUGAUUAUCCGGGGUAAUGGGAUAACAGGGACAAAGCAAAAACAUGGAUAACAUGAAACCUAUGCAAAUGAAGCUGGGAAAAAAAGUGCUGCUGAGAGUAAUGGAGGAAAGAAAGGUCAGCAAUGCUGAUGAAGGAGCGUGGAGAUCCCUGUGCUAGCACUGCCAUGAGCUCACAAGCCCAUGCAUAAUGGUACCUGGGUUCACAGAAUCACAGAAUGGCCAGGGUUGGAAGGGACCUCAAGGAUCAUGAAUCUCCAACCCCCCCUGCCACGUGCAGGGCCACCAAGCUCCCCAUUCAAUACUAGACAGGCUGCCCAGGGUUGGGAGCUUCUACCCCAGGCAUGGAGCUGCUCAAGAGAAGCUGUGGGAUGAGAGUGGCCUUGCAGAUCCAUAGGUCCUGGCCCUAUAGAGGGAGCAGAGAUCUUCCCUGGAUGGUACAACCAAGUUACAGCAGAGGGAGGGGAGCUGCAUUAAAGCCAAGCACUUCAAAGCCUCCACAUGAGGGAUAUGUCAUUAAAAUACAUAAGAUUUGGGCACCCAACCCUCCUCCUCCUUACACAAGCAGGAAGAAGCCCAAUUUAAAGGUCAGCAUCUUAAAAUCUUUCGCUGUGUAUAUACCAGGAUAACUCAGCUCCAAACAGAAACCCCACACCCGCUUGAUGAGCCACUCUUUGUAGGAGCAUGGCAGGAGCACCGAGAGCCCAAUCAGUGCAAGGGUAGGGGCUGUGAUAAAGCAGGAGGAGAGAUAACAGAGGAGCUCCAAGAAGAUCCAGCCCCAACCACAUCUGCUUGGGCAAAGGACCGGCCCAGCAGUCCUUGAUUUGCUCUGUAGGCCCCCAUCCCUAAAGGGGAAUUUCAAAUCCACAACAGCAACGUCAUGGAGGCAGCUCUGAGAAAUCUCUGGUGGUGGGUGGAUGGAAAGGGCACCCGUGGAGAUGAGCCAGAAAGAAGAGAGGGAGGAAUCUUGGAGGAAGACUAACCUUCUUAAUAGGUUUUAUUGAUUUAACCCAAAGAGAGAACAGUAGGGGGAAACUUAUGCCAUUUAAAUGCAAACCAGCAAUAAAAAUAAUCAUUAGAGUCAUAAUCUCAAUCUGUUAGCAUUUUAUGUAGAAAUGAGCUUAAUGGGAAAUGUUUUCCAUGUAAACUAUUUGCAUUCACUUAGUACGAAUAAGCCUCUUAAAUAUAAUUCAGUCAUUACCACUGAGUUUUAUUAAGAGGUUGGUUUGGGUCCUAAUUGCUUUAAAGUGUCUGUCUUGGGAAAGCCGCUGGCCUGCCCCAGCCAGGAUUUAAUGUUCAUAUCCCCAUGGAUAUUCUUGUUUCCACACUGAGAAUACAUGUGGAUUUUGAUGGCGUUCAGAAAACGUCACUCUUCACCCAAACUGCACUGAGAUUUUGGGACUGACCAAGGAGGGGCCGCAUUUCUCAGUCAGAUACUGGGGUCUUUGCAGAGGAAAAGUAACUUCAGAGCACGUUUCCAGGCCCUUCAUUUCCUACAAACAGCGAGAAGCAUCUGACAAUCUUUCUUAGCAGCUUUCUCCCUCGUAAAAUAAGAGGAAAACAUAGGCCAUAGGGAGGGGGAAUCAGAGGCACCCAGCAGCUCCAAAGAGGCUUUUUCUGGCCACUGCCCUGUCCCCAGGAUCAGUCUCCAUGGGGCAUGGCUCUGUGCAUGUGCAGAUGCUCCGGGGAUGUCACCAGCCCUGUGCCACCCACGCCACGCGCACCUCACAGCCACAAAGAGAGAAAUAAAUACCCUCUUCUGCCUGGGGACACCUUUUAAUCUUCUUGCUAGAUUUCCAUGCCCCAGUCUGGAGGCUCAGUGGGGCCAGCCAUGAUCUCAUUUUGCAUCCCACCCACGGGGCUCUGCACAGCUGAGCCUGCUGCUUGUGCCACGUGCCGGUAGGGGCUGGGGUUGCUGCUUCCUGGCGUCCCAACCCUCCACAACAGCCCAAAUCCUAUCCCACUAGGAAAAGCAUCCUAUGGAGGGAACAGUAGUGAUGCAGUCAAGGUGCUGGACCUUGCUGGUGGCAGGACACACAGACACCACAAGCAGUGGCUUUCCAGGAUGCCAUGGCAGAUGCUGCCAGGCUCAAAGGGUGGCUGGUGCUGCCUGGCACAGCACUCCAUUGGGCCAGGUGACGCUGCCCACCUGGUGCAUUUGGGGUUUCAGAUCUCUUCCAGACGAGCCCCCAGAUUUUGUAAAAUCUGGGUAACUUCAGGAUGCGUGUGAGGUUACCCUCACCAGGCUCUGCUAAGAGUAAUCAGAGCUUCAGGCCAUAAGCCGAUUCCUUGUGCAUCUCAGGAAGGAAUUAGCCCUGUCUCCCCCGUCCCACACCACCAUGCAGCAUUUGCACAGCUCAAAGGACUUGAGUCCCAAUGCAGAUUUUGUCCCAGGGUAACAAGGGCCCUAUGAGAGGCAGGGGAACUCUAUGUCAGCCACCACCUCCCCCCUCCCAGAGGCUCCUGCCUCGUUUCUCCCCCAGUUCUGCUUCUGCUGGCAGCAGGAAUUCCUCUACGUUUGCUGAGCAACGUGUUGCAGUCUGCAAUAGCUCACCCUGGCUGGAAGCUCAUCCUUGUGUGUAAAUACUGUGUGCAACUGUGUCUUCAUUUCAUGUUAUGGAAGUGCAUCCAAAGCAGCUAAGCAGACUUUCUCUGCAGUGUGGAUGGUGUAAAUGAUCCAAAUUUAACAUGUGGUUACAUGGUCUGAAGAUUUCAUUGAGCUUUCAGGUCGGAUGGCACUGUAACUGCAGUCCGGCCUCCUGGCUGCUGGGUUUUGCCCCGGGGUUUAAAGCGAGUUGGGCUCUUAAGCUCCAACCUUCUGAUGCACAAUGAGUCCAGUUUGUAAGCAGGAGCAGUGGCUGCUGCAGGCAGGUGGUUCACAACCUACCCGAAAACCAAAGACCAGAACCUUGCCCAGCAGUUCUGAAGGGCAGCAGGUUCUGGCUGACAGCACAUCCACAGACUGGGUUAUUUUGCUAUAGCGUGUUUGACUUGUGAAGUGAAGGUAAUGAAUGGUUCUGAGGUCAAAGCCGUUAUUCAAAAGCAAUAUUGUUAUCACUGCUUCCAUCUGUAAGCCUUGCUAUUCCUUGCUAUUCAGAAGCCAGCGCUGUCACAGAACAGCAAGACAGGUGAUUGCCUGGGGUCUGCCAGGUGGGUCACUGAGACAGACUGGGACUAAGGGACUGCUGAGGAGAGAUGUGGCACCAGCAGCCCAGGAGCCAUCCCACAUCCCUGCCCCAGUACUGGGUGGCACUGGCACGGGGAUGAGGGGCUGGGAAGGAGCUGCAUGUCCCCGUGCCCAAUGUCUUGUGCCACGUGGCAGAUUCCCAAGCAGCUGGGAGAGGACGAUGAUUUCUAUUGCCAGUUUUCUAAUUUAUCUAAUGAGCAAGAAAAUAAAUCAAGCUGACAGUCACCCAGGUGGUUCUGAGCUUCUGCUGGCUCCUCAUGGUCCCCUUGUUCCUCCAGCCCAUUUGAUAGCAGGGUUAUAACCUGAGGACGUGGCAAUAAUUCCUGCUAUAAUCUUUUCUUUCCUAACGUCACUUAGCAGAUGGAGUCAUUUAGAGGUGCUCAUGUUUAUAUGAACGGCUUGCCCUGAAAGGGACGGAGCCGGGGAUGCUGGCAAGAUGUUUGGGAUCGUUAGCCUAGAAAAUGCUUAGCAGGGGAAGCAGUUGGCAGGCAGAUUUCACGGACAUGGCGCCGGUAUCUUCUGCCAGCAAAAUUACAAGGCUGAAAUCCUUGAGCUGGAUGGGGCCAAACUGUUCACAGCAAACAAUUUAAUUGAUGAAUGAAGUGGAUUGCCCAGGAGAUGGUUUUCAGUCAUCUGCUCAUUGCACGAAGCCACUUGGAGGAAGAGCCAUGCCAUCGGGUGUCACCAGCUGCCCAUGUAGGCAUGGGCUGGCUGGGGGUCCCCAACCCCACACUCUCCUGGACCUCUGUGCCUCAAAUGAGCAGCCCAGUGCCAUGAGCACAGCCACCUCCAAGCUCGUCUGCUUCAUCUCACCAAAUGCAUUAUGCUUGCCUACAGAUCCUGCUGCUAUCAGGUCACUGCAGCUAGAGCCAUGAUGCUACCACGCUGAAGAUGUCAGUGCUGGUUUGAGUGGGCCCCUACACAACAUGAAAAAGAACAAAGCCAAACUAAACAGCAACACUGCCUUGUCAGCCUCUGCAAGAAGUGAGGUGGCAGCCUCAGAGGAUUCUCCUCUCCAGCCCUCUGACCCUCUGCACAAUACCACACAGCUGCCAGCAUAGGCUUCUUUCAUCUGGUCGACUAGAGUAAACGACCUCUCCAUCUCCUCAAAAGUGAAUAGCCAUGAAAAUGCACAUUGAGAUGAAAGUUUACAACCCUUGAAAAUGUUCUCUUGCUUGUGAAAGGGCUUCUGAGAAAGAAACAAAAGGGACAAUGAGUGCCAAGGAAGGGGGAGAUACUGCUCAUGCUGCUGGGCAGCAUUUGACCCGUCCCAUGCAGAGGUUGGGCAGAAGAAGGAGACAAGGGGUUGAGACCAGCAGCUGCAGUCACUGCCCUGCAGGAGCAGCAUCUCAGUGUCCACAGAGCCCAAUCCCAAAUUAUUCAGCUCAAGUGUUCUCAAACUCUUAUUCUGCUGCUUUCUGGCAGGCAUGGUGCUUUCUCUGCAAGUCCCAUUUUACAUCUUUGGUAAUUCAGUGCAGGUGUAACACUCAAUUGUGAAGACCCAGCAGGAGCCUGUGAUGCAGGCAUCUUCAAGACAUAGGGCUUAUCAGUUCAAAUAACACAACUGUCUUUUAUCUUUUGUGUCCCAAGCUGUUCUGGCACUCAUAUUUGUAAUUUGUUGCCUGGCUCUGGGUCUGGCUCCAGCAGGACACUCACUGCUGUCCAUCUGCCUGCAUUGCUGGCAUUUCUGUGUCCACCCAAGGGACCUGAGUGCCUAUGCUCUGCUUAUCUUUGCAUCCUCAUUGGCCAACAGUCACUUUGAAAGCAAGCCUUGGGAGCUGUAGACUUGCAGGUGCUUUCAAACAAUGCGCCCCAAACCCAAGCUGCUCAUCAGUCCCUACCUCCCAGCAACGACUGCUCCCUCUCCAUCCCAUAUGGCCUCCAGCAGUGCCCAAACACCCAGCACUACCAUUCCACCCAUGGACCAGCACGCCUUUCACCAGCACUGCAUUCUCUUCAAAAGAGGAUAAACGAGGUAAAAGAAGAAAAGGUGAAAACAUGAUAAUAGCUGUGGGAAAAGGGCCACUGCUAUAGAUUCGACAAUGCUGGAAAUGGAGGCUCUGAGAAAAGUUUUUCUCCUGAAAUUAUUCUUUUCAACCUCAACAGCUCACCGAAGAAAAGUUUAAGCACACUUUUUAACACCUUUUGUACUCAAAUUCCAAAUUCACUUGUCUACCCGAGCAAUAACAGGAAUAAUCUUUUUUAUCCAGCUGCACAUUCUGCUGUCAAAAUUUGUUUCCAUUAAACUGUUCCCUUUUGUCCUCUUAAAAAGCAUAUUUUAAAUAAUAACAGGGGAAAAAAAAAUAAAUUAUACACUAUCCAAAAACUCAACCCUGUCGACUGUGCACUUUUAUACAAAAGUUAUCUCCUUCUCUCGAUGAACUGAUGAAAACCCUUUUCAUAAUGCUGAGGUGGAGAUGAGAAAGAGGAAGAAUACUUCUCAGUGCGCCCAGCACAGCCACUCAUUUCAACAGGAAGCACAUGGCAAACUCCGGGCUUAGAAAACUAAAUUACAGCACCAAGGUGAACCCGACGUUCUUUUUUUUUUUUUUUUCUGCUUUGUAAAAAACCAUUCUGUGGAAGUUGGAAUGGAGGAACACAUUGAGCUUCUCAUUCAGGGGAAAAAAAACGCGUUUUUUCUAUAUCCCUUAAAUCUUAACAGGAGAAUGUGAAUUCAAGCUAAUAUAUAUAUAAAAACCAUAAUAAACUUGCACUGCUUGCACACCCUCAGCAGUGUAGCAGCUGCAGCUCACUCGUAGUUCCUCCAGGAAGGUCCAUGCUCAGCACCCAGCUCACCAUCCCUCUUCCCCAUGCCCAGCUGUCUCACAUCAGUCUCCUUCUCUCACUCUGGACAUGCAAGUAUGAAGGUUGCUCCCUACCUUUGUGCCUGUGUGUUGCUGCUGGCUCCUGCUGAAGUCAUGAAGGUCUGCUAGUUGGUGUCUGUAGGGGCUGCGGGGCACAGUGGGCACAGCAUUGGGGGUCCUGCAGGACGGUCAGCACUGGUGUUGGAACUGCAAGGGCAGAAAUGAAAACGUUAGGGGGAAAUUUCAUUGGGGUAUAAAGUGUUGAGUAACACGAAGCUGUCCCAGGGACAGCAUGGCUGCUUCAGUUGCUGCAGUGCAGGGAGCAGAUGGGUAUGGGAAGAGGACCAUGGAAAGGUCCCAGCACUGAGAGCAGCUGCUCAACAUCACAGUGCAAAGGGAAUCCAUCUGCUAGCAGAGGAGGGGCUGUAAGAAAUGUUGGGAGGACUGAAGUUAGAGAAAUGGGACAAAUGGGGACAGACUGGGAUGCAGAAGACAGAUAGCUCUGGGCAUGCACGGGGCAGAUACCAGCAGGGAUAUCAGCACAGAACUCCUCGAGGAGUGCAGAGCCACCACCAGCACCAGCCACACUGCAUGGGCAGAUUUCAAUAAGCUUAAUCAUCUUUUCACAUGGGAAUCAGAUGUGCUUUUAAUUCUUAAUUGCCAUUUUAUUGUCCUCACUGCUCACUUCUCACCCCCUUGUUGUUCUUGGAUCUGGGUGCCUGGCUGGCCAGGGCUCCCUGUCCUCAUCACUGCUGUCAGCCUCCAGCUUGCUCUGAUGUGAGACCACCAGCACAGCAAGAAGUGACACUGACCACAACAGGACUCAUCUGCACAACACCCAGUGCCUUGUUUCAUUAUCAUCAACACGAUAACAAUAAGAGCGACAUUAGCAACAAGCACUUUAUUAUCCCUCCUGCUAUCCUCAUUCAGACGUGGCAUUCAGAAAGACAACCCAAACUCAGUGUGAGAUCCAGGGGGGCAGGGCAGUUAAUUAAACAUCAGAGUGAUGGGCAGAGCUGGGAUGAGCCAAGAGUGGCAGCAGAGCUGGACAACCCCUGCCAUGCUCAGGGAGAUGGAUGGAUCUGGGACACUGCCAGCCCUGUCCCCCAGCAGAGGCAGAGCCCUGCUACAUGCACACAUCUUUACACCCAGCCUUGCUCCCUGCUUGGUUGCUGUUUCAUUGACUUAUGCAGGUGAGAACGUUUUCUGGAGAAAGCUGCCUCCCAAGCUGUGCUACCGAUUGCCAUCUGAUCUGGUGACAUUUUAUUACCUCCAAAU